UACGUAGGGGGCAAGCGUUGUCCGGAAUCAUUGGGCGUAAAGAGCGUGUAGGCGGCCCGAUAAGUCCGCUGUGAAAGUCCAGGGCUCAACCCUGGGAUGCCGGUGGAUACUGUCGGGCUCGAGUCCGGAAGAGGAGCGUGGAAUUCCUGGUGUAGCGGUGAAAUGCGCAGAUAUCAGGAGGAACACCAAUGGCGAAGGCAGCACUCUGGGACGUGACUGACGCUGAGACGCGAAAGCGUGGGGAGCAAACAGG
This 253-nucleotide ribosomal RNA is filed under the name uncultured bacterium. RNAcentral's name for it is "partial 16S ribosomal RNA". It matches the Rfam family "Bacterial small subunit ribosomal RNA", at positions 524 to 776 of the family's 1533-position model. The record is from RNAcentral.